AACGGACUCUGACAAAACUCUGAGGAAGAAACAAAAUUCAGCAGGUGUUUCUAAAAUAAACUGCUUCAGUUUAUUGACAGAACAUCUACAAAAACAUCUCAGGGUUGGAGGACAAAGCCAUGCUCCAGCCAUACAUCUGGAAACAGUCUAAACCUACAUCCUGGUAUAAAUUUGCAAAACGCAAUACAGGCCGGAUUGUGUGUGCGCGGGACAGACGUGGGGCGCAUACAAAUGGCCCCCCGUCUAAAGUCCCCCCUGUUUCUCUUCAGACUCAGAAGCUAAUGUACAAUAAAUCAACAAAAGAGCAUUAAUGUAUCCAUUGAGUA
Molecule: long non-coding RNA, 326 nt
Organism: Myxocyprinus asiaticus (Chinese sucker)
Lineage: Eukaryota; Metazoa; Chordata; Actinopteri; Cypriniformes; Catostomidae
Exons: 3
Source: RefSeq, a predicted model, not a curated record